RNAcentral lists this ribosomal RNA (49 nucleotides) under uncultured fungus. Its description in RNAcentral is "partial 28S ribosomal RNA". Lineage: Eukaryota; Fungi. The record is from RNAcentral.
UUGAUCUCAAAUCAGGUAGGACUACCCGCUGAACUUAAGCAUAUCAAAA